RNAcentral lists this ribosomal RNA (253 nucleotides) under uncultured bacterium. RNAcentral's name for it is "partial 16S ribosomal RNA". It matches the Rfam family "Bacterial small subunit ribosomal RNA", at positions 524 to 776 of the family's 1533-position model. The record is from RNAcentral.
UACGUAGGAGACAAGCGUUGUCCGGAAUUACUGGGCGUAAAGCGCGUGUAGGCGGUAGGUCAAGUCUGCUGUGAAAUCGCCCGGCUCAACUGGGCGCGGUCGGUGGAAACUGGUCAACUGGAGGACGGUAGAGGCGAGUGGAAUUCCCGGUGUAGUGGUGAAAUGCGUAGAUAUUGGGAGGAACACCGGUGGCGAAGGCGGUGGUCUGGGCCGGCACUGACGCUGAGGAGCGAAAGCGUGGGGAGCGAACAGG